This 253-nucleotide ribosomal RNA is filed under the name uncultured bacterium. RNAcentral describes it as "partial 16S ribosomal RNA". It matches the Rfam family "Bacterial small subunit ribosomal RNA", at positions 524 to 776 of the family's 1533-position model. The record is from RNAcentral.
UACGUAGGAGGCAAGCGUUGUCCGGAAUUACUGGGCGUAAAGCGCGUGUAGGUGGUGGGACAAGUCUGCUGUGAAAGCGCCUGGCUUAACCGGGCGAGGUCGGCGGAAACUGUCCGACUCGAGGACGGUAGAGGGGGGUGGAAUUCCCGGUGUAGCGGUGAAAUGCGUAGAUAUCAGGAGGAACACCUGCGGUGUAGACGGCUUACUGGACGGUAACUGACGCUGAGGCACGAAAGCGUGGGUAGCAAACAGG